GGAGGAGGCUGGAUAUAAUAAAAUUGAUCACCUUUGUAGUAAUUGCAAAGUAAACUGCUUGAAUAAUUAGAUCAUAUCAAUGACUAAUAAUGAGCAGAAUAAUAUAAGAAGAUGUGGUAUGAGUGCCAAUAAGAAAACUCUCCAUCUAAGUCACUAUUCGUAAAAGUAAACCAUCAUAGGCCGAAUUACGGUCUUCAACACGGAGCAUUGGCUCACACUAAACAACAAACUAUAAAGGUCCCCAAAAACGAUAUCCAAGUUACUACUAGUAUAUAUAUUACAAAGAAAAUUGAGUAAAUUGAGGUUAUACCUAAGAAAAAAAUCAACCCUGCUAAUAUAGCUAUAACCGAAUAUAAAUAUACUUCCAAAGUAAGCUCUCGUUUGAGAACUGUGUAAAGUAGGUUACAUUCAAACAAGCUACCCUUUGGCAAUAAAUGUAUAGAAUGA
This 447-nucleotide long non-coding RNA is filed under the name Mytilus galloprovincialis (Mediterranean mussel). Lineage: Eukaryota; Metazoa; Mollusca; Bivalvia; Mytilida; Mytilidae. The record is from RNAcentral.